Molecule: ribosomal RNA, 421 nt
Filed under: Fusobacteriota bacterium
Lineage: Bacteria; Fusobacteriati; Fusobacteriota
Description: Fusobacteria bacterium partial 16S ribosomal RNA
Rfam family: Bacterial small subunit ribosomal RNA
Source: RNAcentral
UGGGGAAUAUUGCACAAUGGACGGAAGUUUGAUGCAGCGACGCCGCGUGGAGGGUGUAGGCUUUCGGGUUGUGAAUUCCUUUUUCUCGCGAAAAAGGCACAGUUUUGGCUGCGUUGAUGGUAGCGGGGGAAGAAGCGCCGGCUAACUAUGUGUCAGCAGCCGCGGUAAUACGUAGGGCGCGAGCGUUGUCCGGAUUUAUUGGGCGUAAAGAGCUCGUAGGUGGUUCGUCGCGUCUGUCGUGAAAGCCAGCAGCUUAACUGUUGGUCUGCGGAGGGUAAGGGCGGGCUUGAGUGCGGUGGGGGGGACUGGAAUUCCUGGUGUGGCGGUGGAAAGCGCAGAUAUCAGGAGGAACACCGAUGGCGAAAGCAGGUCACUGGGCCGUUACUGACACUGAGGAGCGAAAGCGUGGGGAGCGAACAGG